UUUAAGGUCUAAUCUGCCCUAUGAGGAAUUAAAUGGCCGCGGUAUUUUGACCGUGCAAAGGUAGCAUAAUAAUUAGUUUUUUAAUUGAAAGCUGGAAUGAAUGAUUGGACGAGAAAAUUUCUGUCUCAAUUUAAUUUAAUUAGAAUUUUAUUUUUAAGUAAAAAAGCUUAAAUUUUUUUAAAAGACGAGAAGACCCUAUAGAGUUUUAUAUAUUUUUGUAUAUUAGAUUUUUGGAAUUUUAUUUUUAUUAUUUAUAUAUGAAUAUAUUUUGUUGGGGUGACAGAAAAAUUAAAUUAACUUUUUUUAUAUUUUUACAUUAAUUUAUGGUUGAAUGAUCCAUUUUUUAUGAUUAUAAGUUUAAAUUACCUUAGGGAUAACAGCGUAAUUAUUUUUUAGAGUUCUUAUCGAAAAAAUAGAUUGCGACCUCGAUGUUGGAUUAAAAUAAAUGUUUGGUGUAGGGGCUAAAUAGUUAGGUCUGUUCGACCUUUAAAAUUUUACA
RNAcentral lists this ribosomal RNA (499 nucleotides) under Trochalus sp. DA4150. Its description in RNAcentral is "partial 16S large subunit ribosomal RNA". It matches the Rfam family "Bacterial large subunit ribosomal RNA", at positions 1844 to 2600 of the family's 2925-position model. Lineage: Eukaryota; Metazoa; Arthropoda; Insecta; Coleoptera; Scarabaeidae. The record is from RNAcentral.